GUUUCAUUUAAAAUUAUAAUAAAAUUUUAUUUUUUAGUCAAAAAGCUAAAAUUUUUUUAAAAGACGAGAAGACCCUAUAAAUCUUUAUAAUUAUAUUAUUUUAAUUUAUUAGAUUGAUUUUAUUAUUAUAGGUUUAAUUAUUUUAUUGGGGUGAUAUUAAAAUUUAAUAAACUUUUAAUUUUUUUUUAACAUUAAUUUAUGAAUAAUUGAUCCAUUAUUAGUGAUUAUAAAAUUAAGUUACUUUAGGGAUAACAGCGUAAUUUUUUUGGAGAGUUCUUAUCGAUAAAAAAGGUUGCGACCUCGAUGUUGGAUUAAGAUAAAUUUUUAAAUGCAGAAGUUUAAAUUUUAAGUCUGUUCGACUUUUAAAUUCUUACAUGAUCUGAGUUCAAACCGGUGUAAGCCAGGUUGGUUUCUAUCUUUAAUUAAUUAAUAUAUUUUAGUACGAAAGGACCAAGUAUUUAAAUAGUUAUGUAUAUUUUGUAUUAAGAAU
Molecule: ribosomal RNA, 490 nt
Filed under: Teloglabrus milleri
Lineage: Eukaryota; Metazoa; Arthropoda; Insecta; Diptera; Diopsidae
Description: partial 16S ribosomal RNA
Rfam family: Bacterial large subunit ribosomal RNA (bases 248-407)
Source: RNAcentral